GAUGAACGCUGGCGGCGUGCCUAAUACAUGCAAGUCGAGCGAACAGACGAGGAGCUUGCUCCUCUGACGUUAGCGGCGGACGGGUGAGUAACACGUGGAUAACCUACCUAUAAGACUGGGAUAACUUCGGGAAACCGGAGCUAGUACCGGAUAAUAUAUUGAACCGCAUGGUUCAAUAGUGAAAGACGGUUUUGCUGUCACUUAUAGAUGGAUCCGCGCCGCAUUAGCUAGUUGGUAAGGUAACGGCUUACCAAGGCAACGAUGCGUAGCCGACCUGAGAGGGUGAUCGGCCACACUGGAACUGAGACACGGUCCAGACUCCUACGGGAGGCAGCAGUAGGGAAUCUUCCGCAAUGGGCGAAAGCCUGGCGGAGCAACGCCGCGUGAGUGAUGAAGGUCUUCGGAUCGUAAAACUCUGUUAUUAGGGAAGAACAAAUGUGUAAGUAACUAUGCACGUCUUGACGGUACCUAAUCAGAAAGCCACGGCUAACUACGUG
RNAcentral lists this ribosomal RNA (497 nucleotides) under uncultured bacterium. RNAcentral's name for it is "partial 16S ribosomal RNA". It matches the Rfam family "Bacterial small subunit ribosomal RNA", at positions 28 to 507 of the family's 1533-position model. The record is from RNAcentral.